CCACAUGGCAAGCAGGUGAGG
This 21-nucleotide unclassified non-coding RNA is filed under the name Mus musculus (house mouse). RNAcentral's name for it is "oocyte_clustered_small_RNA5206". Lineage: Eukaryota; Metazoa; Chordata; Mammalia; Rodentia; Muridae. The record is from RNAcentral.